UGAGCAAUCUGCCCUUCUCAUCGGAAUAAGCGUUGGAAACGACGUCUAAUGCCGAAUACGACCUCCUUUCGCAUGAUCGGAGGUGGAAAGCUCCGGCGGAGAAGGAUGAGCUCGCGGCCUAUCAGCUAGUUGGUGUGGGUAAUGGCCCACCAAGGCGACGAUCAGUAGCUGGUCUGAGAGGGUGACCGGCCACACUGGGACUGAGACACGGCCCAGAUCCUACGGG
This 226-nucleotide ribosomal RNA is filed under the name uncultured bacterium. RNAcentral describes it as "partial 16S ribosomal RNA". It matches the Rfam family "Bacterial small subunit ribosomal RNA", at positions 118 to 345 of the family's 1533-position model. The record is from RNAcentral.